GACGAACGCUGGCGGCGUGCUUAACACAUGCAAGUCGAACGGAAAGGCCCUGCUUGCAGGGUACUCGAGUGGCGAACGGGUGAGUAACACGUGGGUGAUCUGCCCUGCACUUCGGGAUAAGCCUGGGAAACUGGGUCUAAUACCGGAUAGGAGCCAUUUUUAGUGUGAUGGUUGGAAAGUUUUUUCGGUGUAGGAUGAGCUCGCGGCCUAUCAGCUUGUUGGUGGGGUAAUGGCCUACCAAGGCGGCGACGGGUAGCCGGCCUGGGGGGGUGGACGGCCACAUUGGGACUGGGAUACGGCCCAGACUCCUACGGGGGGCAGCAGGGGGGAAUAUUGCCCAAUGGGCGCAAGCCUGAUGCAGCGACGCCGCGGGGGGGAUGACGGCCUUCGGGUUGUAAACUCCUUUCGCUAGGGACGAAGCUUUUUGUGACGGUACCUAGAUAAGAAGCACCGGCUAACUACGUG
Molecule: ribosomal RNA, 465 nt
Filed under: uncultured bacterium
Lineage: Bacteria
Description: partial 16S ribosomal RNA
Rfam family: Bacterial small subunit ribosomal RNA
Source: RNAcentral